RNAcentral lists this ribosomal RNA (253 nucleotides) under uncultured bacterium. RNAcentral describes it as "partial 16S ribosomal RNA". It matches the Rfam family "Bacterial small subunit ribosomal RNA", at positions 524 to 776 of the family's 1533-position model. The record is from RNAcentral.
UACGAAGGGUGCAAGCGUUACUCGGAAUUACUGGGCGUAAAGCGUGCGUAGGUGGUGCGUUAAGUCUGUCGUGAAAGCCCCGGGCUCAACCUGGGAAUGGCGAUGGAUACUGGCGCGCUAGAGUGCGGUAGAGGAGAGUGGAAUUCCCGGUGUAGCAGUGAAAUGCGUAGAUAUCUGGAGGAACACCGGUGGCGAAGGCGGCAUCCUGGACCAAUACUGACACUGAGGAGCGAAAGCCAGGGGAGCAAACGGG